AUAUGUCUACAUCAGGGCGUAUUAAACUUUAAUGUCUGCUAAUAUUCUUCAUGAAUCAAUGGCUAGCUUGUAAGCAACUGAGUGUUCUCACUCAAAGUCAAAUUUGCAACAGAGAGCAUCUGAAACAGCUGUGAAUGAAUGAAAAAGAAUCGCUGCCAAGGCCAACAUUUCCACCCAUACCCAACUGCCCUUGAACUGAAUGGUUUGCUAGGCCAUUUCAGAGACCAGAUGGGAGUCAACCGCGUUGUGGAUCUACAGUCACAUCUCAGCCAGACCAGGCCUGAAUGGCAUGGUGGCAGCGUCAGGCAUCGCUUCAUGGCCACAGAUGAAGUUCCAUGGAUGGAGGUCUGUGCUGAGAUUCUGCCAAAUUGUCUACAAACAAGAGGAACUGAAAACUGAGACAUUGUGUCCUAAAUUGAGAAAGUAAGAAACGAUCCAUGCAUUUAUAAACAUCUUUCCCUCAGGAUUUUCCAAAGUAUAUCAUAGACAGUGAAUCACUUCUGAAGUGCUGCCACUUGUGUUGAAACCAAACACAGCAGGUAAUAUGCAUGGAUAAAGUCUGGCAGUUAGCAAAGAAAAUAAAUGAUCAGUUACUUUAUUUUGGUGGUGUGGCUGGAGAUAAAUAUUGACUAGGAUAGCUCCCCUACUGUUUUGCAAAUAGUACCACAGAAUUUUUUAGGUUUAAAGGCACCUUAGUAUAACAUCUCAUUUUAAGACAGUAUUUCCAAUAAUGCAGUACCUUCUUCUUGGGACCUUCUCAUAUCACUACAAGAACUAACACUGAGUCAAAGUGACACUGAAGACUAACUUUAGGAACAGGGUAGUAAUAAUUUAAUCUAAACAUUUUUACAUUUUUUUUCUUAAUAGGAUAGAAUUUUACCCAUUAAUUUGAAUGAAUUACCAAUAUUACACUACCUCUUCGGGUGUAGAAUUUGAGUCAAACUGAGCUUUUUAACCUGCUGCCAAUAUUAAUUAGUAACAAUAAUAAUUCACUUGCCUUCCAUAUCUGAACAAAUAUGAUCUCUGAAGAAAAAGCAAAGUUAUCAGUGCAUGUUGCUAAUAAGAAUGUUUCCAUGUUGUUCAGCAAUCAAGUAAACUCAUUUAGUUUGAGGGUUGAUGCUAAUAAACUGCUUAUCUCACUAGCAAUAACAACAGAAAAGACUAUAAAUAAACUGAUACAUUGGUUUUCUGUGACAUGCUUUGUAAGGGGAAAGGUAUGAUAUGCUGUUUGAUGUAUAAUUGAAGCAUUGCCAAAAAACAUAUAGAUAGGAAAAAUAAGCAAUCAGACAAAAGAAUUGAAUGUACUAAUUUCAUUUUAAAUAAUGUACAGUAUUAUGACACAAAUAUAUCAAUAUAUUUUGGAUAUGUACCAUUGUAAGGGUUUUUAAAGACUGCUUUUAUUGACUAUUUCAAAUUUGACAUUUAUUGUUAUGUUUGUCAUAUUCAACGUCAACACCUCGGGGGAGAAAACAGAUCCCAAAAGCAGCAUGAGUUCAGAAAAAUCAAUAAAAUUCUAUUUUUAUUUUGAACAUCAUUAAACCUCAAGAAAACACUAACAUGCUGGAAUUAAGCUCAAUAGCAACCUACAAUUAUUUACAACAUUUAUAGUCACCACCUUUACAGCCUCAGUGACAGUUCCAAAAAUAAUGUAAGUUUUCACAAUAACAAAAUAUUGUAAAGCUGUAUUAGCAGUGAAAUGCAUUGUUAGUAAUUGUGAAUGGAUUAUGUUCUGAAAAAUGGUGACUGAUAAAAUUGAUCUAUAAACUCACAUGUAGCCAAUCCAAUGUUGUAAAUACUGAUAUUUUUGAAAUAUGACAAGCAUAGUUUUUUAGUGUGUACAUUAAAAAUAUUGUGAUAGAAUCAUAGAGUCAUAGAGCUGUACAGCAUGGAAACAGAUUCUUUAGUCCAACUCAUCCAUGCUGGCCAGAUAUCCUAAAUUAAUCUAGUCCCAUUUGCCAGGAUUUUGCCCAUAUCACUUUAAACCUUUCUUAUUCAUGUACCCAUCCAGAUGUCUUUUAAAUGUUGUAAUUGUACAAGCUUUCACCACUUCCUUUGGCAGCUCAUUCCAUACACAUACCCCCCACCCCAGGAAAAAAAAAACCUUGGCUCUUCAUCCUAUUCUAUCCAUGCCCCUCAUGUUCUUGUAAACUUCUAUAAGGUCACACCUCAGCCUCCGACGUUCCAGGGAAAAUAGCCCCAGACUAUUCAGCCUCUCCCUGUAGCGCAAACCCUCCAACCCUGGCAACACCCUUGUAAAUCUUUUCUGAACCCUUUCAAGUUUAACACAAUCUUUCCUAUAGCGAGGAGACUAGAAUUGAACAUAUUAUUCCCAAAGUGACCUAAGCAAAGUCCAAUACAGCCACAAUAUGACCUCCCAACUCCUAUACUCAAUGCACUGAUCAAUAAAGUUACUACCUGUCUACCCUUCACUAGCUGUCUACCUGGGACUCCACUUUCAAGGAACUGUGAACCUGCACUCCAAGGUCUUUUUAUUCAGCAACACUCCCCAGGACGUUACCUUUAAGUGUAUAAGUUCUGACCUGAUCUGCCUUUCCAACAUGCAGCACCUCACAUUUAUCUAAAUUAAAGUCCAUCUGCCACUCCUCAGCCCUUUAGCCCAUCUGAUCAAGGUCCCAUUGUACUCUGAGGUAACAUUCUUCACCAUCCACUACACCACCAAUUUUUGGUGUCAUCUGCAAACUUACUGACCAUACCUCUAAAUGAUGAAAAGCAGUGGACCCAGCACCGAUCCUUUUGGGACACCACUGGUCACAAGCCUCCAGUCUGAAAAGCAAUCCUCCACCACCACCAUCUGUCUUCUACCUUCGAGACAGUUCUGUAUCCAAAUGGCUAGUAUUCCCUGUAUGUGAUCUAACUUUGCUAGCCAGACUAUCAUGAGGAAACUUGUCAAAUGCCUUACUGAAGUCCAUAUAGAUCACAUCCAUCACUCUGCCCUCAUUAAUCCUCUUCGUCAGCUCUUCAAAAAACUCAAUCAAGUUAGUGAGACAUGAUUUCCCACACACAGAGCCAUGUUGACUAUCCCUAAUAAGUCCUUGCCUUUCCAAAUACAUGUAAAUCCUGUUGCUCAGGAUUCCCUCCAACAACUUGCCCACCACCGAUGUCAGGCUCACUAUCUGCAGUUCCCUGGCUUUUCCUUACCACCUUUCUUCAUGCAGAGGAUAAUUUCGUUACCUGAAUUGUUGUAAUAAUUAUCAAGGUUUUUCAAUGUGCAUUUUGACAAAACAAAUACAAUACUUUGAGCUUUUUUUAUAUAAGGAGCAAAUGCGGAACCGGGAAUUAAAAUAAUUAAAUGUUUCUGUCACUCCUAUACAAUCUGUGGAUAUUGGUUAAAAACUAAUUUAAAAAGCACUUGCAUAAGGAGAAAAGACUGAACAACAACUUUAUCAAUUGUUUAAGUGCCACUGAAUUUUGAAGGGUAUUGUUAAUGUAUUUUGCUGCCUUUUGAGAUAAUUAAUAUAUAUGUAAUUACCAAUUCAGCAUUCGACACUAAAUAAAGAUAUAUAAUUGGCAUACA
Long non-coding RNA from Rhincodon typus (whale shark), 3535 nucleotides. RefSeq lists it as uncharacterized. NCBI's taxonomy places the organism in Eukaryota, Metazoa, Chordata, Chondrichthyes, Orectolobiformes, Rhincodontidae. The record is from RefSeq and is a predicted model, not a curated record. The transcript has 4 exons.